This 87-nucleotide transfer RNA is filed under the name Ignavibacteria bacterium. Its description in RNAcentral is "tRNA-Ser". It matches the Rfam family "tRNA". Rfam says of the family: Transfer RNA (tRNA) molecules are approximately 80 nucleotides in length. Their secondary structure includes four short double-helical elements and three loops (D, anti-codon, and T loops). Further hydrogen bonds mediate the characteristic L-shaped molecular structure. tRNAs have two regions of fundamental functional importance: the anti-codon, which is responsible for specific mRNA codon recognition, and the 3' end, to which the tRNAs corresponding amino acid is attached (by aminoacyl-tRNA synthetases). tRNAs cope with the degeneracy of the genetic code in two manners: having more than one tRNA (with a specific anti-codon) for a particular amino acid; and 'wobble' base-pairing, i.e. permitting non-standard base-pairing at the 3rd anti-codon position. The record is from RNAcentral. Lineage: Bacteria; Pseudomonadati; Ignavibacteriota; Ignavibacteria.
GGAAAGGUGCAGGAGUGGCUGAACUGGCACGCCUGGAAAGCGUGUGUACUUGCAAGGGUACCGUGGGUUCGAAUCCCACCCUUUCCG